AGUGAACGCUGGCGGUAGGCCUAACACAUGCAAGUCGAACGGCAGCACAGUAAGAGCUUGCUCUUACGGGUGGCGAGUGGCGGACGGGUGAGGAAUACAUCGGAAUCUACUUUUUCGUGGGGGACAACGUAGGGAAACUUACGCUAAUACCGCAUACGACCUACGGGUGAAAGCAGGGGAUCUUCGGACCUUGCGCGAUUGAAUGAGCCGAUGUCGGAUUAGCUAGUUGGCGGGGUAAAGGCCCACCAAGGCGACAAUCCGUAGCGGGUCUGAGAGGAUGAUCAGCCACACUGGAACUGAGACACGGUCCAGACUCCUACGGGAGGCAGCAGUGGGGAAUAUUGGACAAUGGGCGCAAGCCUGAUCCAGCCAUACCGCGUGGGUGAAGAAGGCCUUCGGGUUGUAAAGCCCUUUUGUUGGGAAAGAAAAGCAGCAGGUUAAUACCCCGCUGUUCUGACGGUACCCAAAGAAUAAGCACCGGCUAACUUCGUG
RNAcentral lists this ribosomal RNA (492 nucleotides) under uncultured bacterium. RNAcentral's name for it is "partial 16S ribosomal RNA". It matches the Rfam family "Bacterial small subunit ribosomal RNA", at positions 29 to 507 of the family's 1533-position model. The record is from RNAcentral.